GGUCUUCUUUCCUCUUCUCUCUGCCUUUUUCCUAUUUCUGCAGUGAUUUGAACACUCAGCCAAGCUGCAGCGGACAAUCACCACGUACAUGUUCCUUGCCCUGGAGCUGGACAUGACCCCUUUCAUGGCCUCCAGCAAAGAGAGCGGGAUGAAUGGACAGUCCCAGCAGCCCAUGGACAGUCUCAAUAACAACAAAAAACUGGAUAUCUUUGUGGUCCCUGAAUGAUCCCAGGAGGCUGAACCUAUAAAGACGUCUGGUCCCUGACCCCUUCUGCCUCCAGGUGCCCAGAACAGCCUAUCGUGGGCCUUCACCCUUGGCAGGUGGAUGCCGUUGUCUCAGCUAAGGUUGAGAACUACCAACCUGGGUAAUUUGAGCAAAAUAUUGAGGACCAAAUAAAUAUGGCUGGGAGAAA
Homo sapiens (human) is the source of this 413-nucleotide long non-coding RNA. RefSeq lists it as uncharacterized. The transcript has 3 exons. The record is from RefSeq and is a predicted model, not a curated record. Lineage: Eukaryota; Metazoa; Chordata; Mammalia; Primates; Hominidae.